AUUGAACGCUGGCGGCAGGCCUAACACAUGCAAGUCGAGCGGAUGAAGGGAGCUUGCUCCUGGAUUCAGCGGCGGACGGGUGAGUAAUGCCUAGGAAUCUGCCUGGUAGUGGGGGAUAACGUCCGGAAACGGGCGCUAAUACCGCAUACGUCCUGAGGGAGAAAGUGGGGGAUCUUCGGACCUCACGCUAUCAGAUGAGCCUAGGUCGGAUUAGCUAGUUGGUGGGGUAAAGGCCUACCAAGGCGACGAUCCGUAACUGGUCUGAGAGGAUGAUCAGUCACACUGGAACUGAGACAAGGUCCAGACUCCUACGGGAGGCAGCAGUGGGGAAUAUUGGACAAUGGGCGAAAGCCUGAUCCAGCCAUGCCGCGUGUGUGAAGAAGGUCUUCGGAUUGUAAAGCACUUUAAGUUGGGAGGAAAGGCAGUAAGUUAAUACCUUGCUGUUUUGACGUUACCAACAGAAUAAGCACCGGCUAACUUCGUG
RNAcentral lists this ribosomal RNA (484 nucleotides) under uncultured bacterium. RNAcentral's name for it is "partial 16S ribosomal RNA". It matches the Rfam family "Bacterial small subunit ribosomal RNA", at positions 30 to 507 of the family's 1533-position model. The record is from RNAcentral.